RNAcentral lists this transfer RNA (71 nucleotides) under Candidatus Wildermuthbacteria bacterium. RNAcentral's name for it is "tRNA-Gln". It matches the Rfam family "tRNA". Rfam says of the family: Transfer RNA (tRNA) molecules are approximately 80 nucleotides in length. Their secondary structure includes four short double-helical elements and three loops (D, anti-codon, and T loops). Further hydrogen bonds mediate the characteristic L-shaped molecular structure. tRNAs have two regions of fundamental functional importance: the anti-codon, which is responsible for specific mRNA codon recognition, and the 3' end, to which the tRNAs corresponding amino acid is attached (by aminoacyl-tRNA synthetases). tRNAs cope with the degeneracy of the genetic code in two manners: having more than one tRNA (with a specific anti-codon) for a particular amino acid; and 'wobble' base-pairing, i.e. permitting non-standard base-pairing at the 3rd anti-codon position. Lineage: Bacteria; Candidatus Wildermuthiibacteriota. The record is from RNAcentral.
UGCCGGGUCGUCUAAUGGUAGGACACUACCCUUUGAAGGUAGGUAUCUUGGUCCGACUCCAAGCCCGGCAG